RNAcentral lists this non-coding RNA (29 nucleotides) under Mus musculus (house mouse). Lineage: Eukaryota; Metazoa; Chordata; Mammalia; Rodentia; Muridae. The record is from RNAcentral.
UCNCAAAGGGAUGCGGCGUGUAUCAGGGA